GUAGUUACAAAAGAAACCAAUGUUGUUAUAAACAUGUGUGUGUAUGUAUGUAUGUAUGUAUGUAUGUUUGCAUCCUACAUUGUUAAGCAUUUGUUUCCAAGACAUUUCCACUUCUUAGCUCAACUCUUCCCCCAUGUUUAUGUCAUUAGAUAACUUCUUCCUUGUUUUCUGGAAGUGGCAGCACCACAUGGUUACUUACAAGAAUCAAACCACUCUUUUUUUUCCUAGCUACCAUAUAAAAUUUGAUACACUCUAGUCCUACCUAACAUGUAUUCUAGUCUAGGUGGAGAAAGACUUUUGUGCAACACGAUAAUGUUGUAGCGGUAUCCCAAGUCUAAAAGGUAUUGCCUUGUGGGAAAGUUAAAACGCAUUACUGUACAUGAUUGACUUGAAAUGCCGUCACAGUGGCAUCCUCGGUGCAGCCCUGAAGGCAAAGGAUGGAAAAGCAGCAGGAAAUGAGGAAGAUACUUAGCGCUUAAGGAUUAGUGUUUUGAUGAAUUCAAACUAAACUCGAUGAGAAUGCAAAGAACAUUUUCUAGCACAGUAGUUUGAUUGAAAUGAAAAAGUAGGUAGGUCUCAUUGAUUUUGGGUACAUGAUAAUACGAAUGUAUUGAAUAAUCAAGUGUGGGUUGUUUAUCUCAUAUCGAUUUAUCAUCAUCCGAAUUCUUUUUCA
Long non-coding RNA from Malus domestica (apple), 673 nucleotides. RefSeq lists it as uncharacterized. The record is from RefSeq and is a predicted model, not a curated record. NCBI's taxonomy places the organism in Eukaryota, Viridiplantae, Streptophyta, Magnoliopsida, Rosales, Rosaceae.